Molecule: ribosomal RNA, 455 nt
Filed under: uncultured bacterium
Lineage: Bacteria
Description: bacterial SSU rRNA
Rfam family: Bacterial small subunit ribosomal RNA
Source: RNAcentral
UACGGAAGGCAGCAGUGGGGAAGUAUUGCACAAUGGGCGCAAGCCUGAUGCAGCCAUGCCGCGUGUAUGAAGAAGGCCUUCGGGUUGUAAAGUACUUUCAGUCGUGAAGGAAGGUGUUAAGGUUAAUAACCUUAGCAAUUGACGUUAGCGACAGAAGAAGCACCGGCUAACUCCGUGCCAGCAGCCGCGGUAAUACGGAGGGUGCGAGCGUUAAUCGGAAUUACUGGGCGUAAAGGGCACGCAGGCGGUUAAUUAAGUUGGAUGUGAAAUCCCCGGGCUUAACCUGGGAAUGGCAUUCAAGACUGGUUAGCUAGAGUCUUGUAGAGGGGGUAGAAUUCCAUGUGUAGCGGUGAAAUGCGUAGAGAUGUGGAGGAAAUACCGGUGGCGAAGGCGGCCCCUGGACAAAGACUGACGCUCAUGUGCGAAAGCGUGGGGAGCAAACAGGAUUAGAUACC